This is a small nuclear RNA of 143 nucleotides. It matches the Rfam family "U4 spliceosomal RNA". From Rfam's summary of the family: U4 small nuclear RNA (U4 snRNA) is a component of the major U2-dependent spliceosome. The structure of U4 snRNA from yeast and human has been reported. U4 snRNA presents a k-turn RNA motif in the 5p-SL related to recognition of Snu13 protein.
AUCUUUAUGCAAGGGCAUUACGUGUAUCAGUGAGGAUUCGUCCGAGAUCAUGUUUUUGCUGGUUGAAAACUUUCAACUCGACUGCUUUCAUUUGAACUUAGCUUUGUCUUUGGUCACUUGAGGAAUUUUUGGAAACUUACUUA